This 468-nucleotide ribosomal RNA is filed under the name uncultured bacterium. RNAcentral describes it as "partial 16S ribosomal RNA". It matches the Rfam family "Bacterial small subunit ribosomal RNA", at positions 28 to 507 of the family's 1533-position model. The record is from RNAcentral.
GACGAACGCUGGCGGCGUGCUUAACACAUGCAAGUCGAACGGAAAGGCCCUGCUUUUGUGGGGUGCUCGAGUGGCGAACGGGUGGGUAACACGUGAGUAACCUGCCCUUGACUUUGGGAUAACUUCAGGAAACUGGGGCUAAUACCGGAUAGGAGCUCCUGCUGCAUGGUGGGGGUUGGAAAGUUUCGGCGGUUGGGGAUGGACUCGCGGCUUAUCAGCUUGUUGGUGGGGUAGUGGCUUACCAAGGCUUUGACGGGUAGCCGGCCUGAGAGGGUGACCGGCCACAUUGGGACUGAGAUACGGCCCAGACUCCUACGGGAGGCAGCAGUGGGGAAUAUUGCACAAUGGGCGGAAGCCUGAUGCAGCAACGCCGCGUGCGGGAUGACGGCCCUCGGGUUGUAAACCGCUUUCGCCUGUGACGAAGCGUGAGUGACGGUAAUGGGUAAAGAAGCACCGGCUAACUACGUG